GAUGAACGCUGGCGGCGUGCCUAAUACAUGCAAGUCGAGCGAACAGACGAGGAGCUUGCUCCUCUGACGUUAGCGGCGGACGGGUGAGUAACACGUGGAUAACCUACCUAUAAGACUGGGAUAACUUCGGGAAACCGGAUCUUAUACCGGAUAAUAUAUUGAACCGCAUGGUUCAAUAGUUAAAUACGGUUUUGCUGUCACUAAUAGCUGGUUCCGCGCCGCAUUAGUUAGUUGUUAAGGUAACGGCUUACCAAGGCAAGGAUGCGUAGCCGACCUGAGAGGGUGAUCGGCCACACUGGAACUGAGGCACGGUCCAGACUCCUAAGGGAGGCAGCAGUAGGGAAUCUUCCGCAAUGGGCGAAAGCCUGACAGAGCAACGCCGCGUGAGUGAUGAAGGUCUUCGGAGCGGAAAACUCUGUUAUUAGGGAAGAACAAAUGUGGAAGUAACUGUGCAGGUAUUGACGGUACCUAAUCAAAAAGCCACGGCUAACUACGUG
Molecule: ribosomal RNA, 497 nt
Filed under: uncultured bacterium
Lineage: Bacteria
Description: partial 16S ribosomal RNA
Rfam family: Bacterial small subunit ribosomal RNA
Source: RNAcentral